RNAcentral lists this ribosomal RNA (482 nucleotides) under uncultured bacterium. RNAcentral's name for it is "partial 16S ribosomal RNA". It matches the Rfam family "Bacterial small subunit ribosomal RNA", at positions 28 to 507 of the family's 1533-position model. The record is from RNAcentral.
GAUGAACGCUGGCGGCGUGCCUAAUACAUGCAAGUCGAACGCUUCACUUCGGUGAAGAGUGGCGAACGGGUGAGUAAUACAUAAUUAACCUGGCAUCUACAGGGGGAUAACUGAUGGAAACGUCAGCUAAGACCGCAUAGGUGUAGAGAUCGCAUGAACUCUAUAUGAAAAGUGCUACGGGACUGGUAGAUGAUGGACUUAUGGCGCAUUAGCUUGUUGGUAGGGUAACGGCCUACCAAGGCGACGAUGCGUAGCCGACCUGAGAGGGUGACCGGCCACACUGGGACUGAGACACGGCCCAGACUCCUACGGGAGGCAGCAGUAGGGAAUUUUCGGCAAUGGGGGAAACCCUGACCGAGCAACGCCGCGUGAAGGAAGAAGUAAUUCGGUAUGUAAACUUCUGUCAUAGAGGAAGAACGGUGGAUAUAGGGAAUGAUAUCCAAGUGACGGUACUCUAUAAGAAAGCCACGGCUAACUACGUG